This 489-nucleotide ribosomal RNA is filed under the name uncultured bacterium. Its description in RNAcentral is "partial 16S ribosomal RNA". It matches the Rfam family "Bacterial small subunit ribosomal RNA", at positions 30 to 506 of the family's 1533-position model. The record is from RNAcentral.
AUUGAACGCUGGCGGCAGGCCUAACACAUGCAAGUCGAACGGUAACAGGAAGAAGCUUGCUUCUUUGCUGACGAGUGGCGGACGGGUGAGUAAUGUCUGGGAAACUGCCUGAUGGAGGGGGAUAACUACUGGAAACGGUAGCUAAUACCGCGUAACGUCGCAAGACCAAAGAGGGGGACCUUCGGGCCUCUUGCCAUCGGAUGUGCCCAGAUGGGAUUAGCUAGUAGGUGGGGUAACGGCUCACCUAGGCGACGAUCCCUAGCUGGUCUGAGAGGAUGACCAGCCACACUGGAACUGAGACACGGUCCAGACUCCUACGGGAGGCAGCAGUGGGGAAUAUUGCACAAGGGGCGCAAGCCUGAUGCAGCCAUGCCGCGUGUAUGAAGAAGGCCUUCGGGUUGUAAAGUACUUUCAGCGGGGAGGAAGGGAGUAAAGUUAAUACCUUUGCUCAUUGACGUUACCCGCAGAAGAAGCACCGGCUAACUCCGU